Molecule: long non-coding RNA, 773 nt
Organism: Apis laboriosa (Himalayan honeybee)
Lineage: Eukaryota; Metazoa; Arthropoda; Insecta; Hymenoptera; Apidae
Exons: 3
Source: RefSeq, a predicted model, not a curated record
AAUCACACUGAACAAGCAAGAAUUAGAUGCAAGACGAGAAUCGAUUAUACUGAUCUAUCGAACGUUGGGUGGCAAACUUCGGUUCCUUCUUGAAUAGAUAUACAUAACCUGUCAAACAUCAGACAACUGUUUUAGAUAGGCUGAUGUUCAUCGUAUCAGAUAUACAUCGACUACAUCGAAAAUAAGAAUAUUAAAAGUUCUAGAAUUUCACGAAGAUUCAUGGCUGUUGCAGACAACUGUGUCUAAAUCGUAGGAUACGGCAGCUGAAAUUUUAUGCGAUCGCGUGAUCACACCUUCUCCAUGAGUUUUCACGAGUCUUGACUCGAAUGCAACGGAAUGGUACUGGGCCAACGUGAACGUAUUGUAGCCAAGUAUACGUUAUGGAGGACCACGGGCAGUAUAACACAUAAAACGGGCGCAUAAACGAGAUGCUAUCGGAGUUGGAGGAGGUUCCGCGUAAUCUAUCCAAUUAUCGUUCGAUCAAAGCUGUAUCCGUGAUUGUUGGGACCCCCAGCCACCGAGAGAAACUUGACUGCGAUGAAGAGCAUAAGGGAUAUCUGUACAGAAGGUUUCUAUCCAGUGCUCUAUUACAAAUCGAAUAAUAUCGAGAAAAGCAAAGCAAGCAUUUUAGACAGAAAAGUAAGUUUUGUUAUUGAUUAAUUACCUUUGCUUUUUACAUUUUUUUGCAUUAUACCAUACAACAUGAUAUUAAUAUAUAUUAUUUUGCAGUAAAAAUUACAAUAAAACAUUGUAAUAACACUACUAAUAAUAAU